UACAGAGGCCUCGAGCGUUAGGCGGAAUCACUGGGCUUAAAGCGUGUGUAGGCGGACUUCUAAGUACCUUGUGAAAUCCCACGGCUUACCCGUGGAACUGCUGGGUAUACUGGUUGUCUUGAGCCACUUAGGGGCUACCGGAACAAAUGGUGGAGCGGUGAAAUGCGUAGAUAUCAUUCGGAACGCCAAUGGUGAAAACAGGUAGCUGGGAGUGUGCUGACGCUGAGACACGAAAGCCAGGGGAGCGAACGGG
This 253-nucleotide ribosomal RNA is filed under the name uncultured bacterium. RNAcentral describes it as "partial 16S ribosomal RNA". It matches the Rfam family "Bacterial small subunit ribosomal RNA", at positions 524 to 776 of the family's 1533-position model. The record is from RNAcentral.